RNAcentral lists this ribosomal RNA (388 nucleotides) under uncultured bacterium. Its description in RNAcentral is "bacterial SSU rRNA". It matches the Rfam family "Bacterial small subunit ribosomal RNA", at positions 370 to 772 of the family's 1533-position model. The record is from RNAcentral.
AAUGGGGGAAACCCUGAUGCAGCGACGCCGCGUGAGUGAUGAAGGCCUUCGGGUUGUAAAGCUCUGUUCUGCGGGAAGAAAUAAAUGACGGUACCGCAGAAGAAAGGACCGGCUAACUUCGUGCCAGCAGCCGCGGUAAUACGAAGGGUCCUAGCGUUGCUCGGAAUCAUUGGGCGUAAAGCGGGUGUAGGCGGCCAACUAAGUCAGAAGUGAAAGCCCCGGGCUCAACCCGGGAAGUGCUUUUGAAACUGGUUGGCUUGAGUGUGGGAGAGGAUAGUAGAAUUCCUGGUGUAGUGGUGAAAUACGUAGAUAUCAGGAGGAAUACCGGUGGCGAAGGCGGCUAUCUGGCCCAACACUGACGCUCAGACCCGAAAGCGUGGGGAGCAAA